CGUGCCUGCGCGGCUCGCGCGGGCUCUACGGCGCCGGCCGACGGCGCCGUUUUCUUUCCUGCAC
Molecule: unclassified non-coding RNA, 64 nt
Filed under: Stenotrophomonas maltophilia
Lineage: Bacteria; Pseudomonadati; Pseudomonadota; Gammaproteobacteria; Lysobacterales; Lysobacteraceae
Description: suhB
Source: RNAcentral